This 467-nucleotide ribosomal RNA is filed under the name uncultured bacterium. Its description in RNAcentral is "partial 16S ribosomal RNA". It matches the Rfam family "Bacterial small subunit ribosomal RNA", at positions 28 to 507 of the family's 1533-position model. The record is from RNAcentral.
GACGAAUGCUGGCGGCGUGCUUAACACAUGCAAGUCGAACGGAAAGGCCCUGAUCUUGUGGGGUGCUCGAGUGGCGAACGGGUGAGUAAAACGCGAGUAACCUGCACUUGACUUUGGGAUAACUCCUGGAAACUGGGGCUAAUAUCGGAUAGGAGCUCUUGAUGCAUGGUGGGGGAUGGAAAGUUUCGGUGGUUGGGGAUGGACUCGAGGCCUAUCAGCUUGUGGUGGGGUAGUGGCAUACCAAGGCUUUGACAGGUAGCCGGCCUGAGAGGGUGACCGGCCACAUUGGGACUGAGAUACGGCCCAGACGCCUACCGGAGGCAACAGUGGAGAAUAUUGCAGAAUAGGCGGAAGCCUGAUGCAGCAACGCCGCGUGCGGGAUGACGGCCUUCGAGUUAUAAACCGCUUUCGCCUGUAACGAAGCGUGAGUGACGGUAAUUGGUAAGAAAGCACCGGCUAACUACGUG